Molecule: ribosomal RNA, 468 nt
Filed under: uncultured bacterium
Lineage: Bacteria
Description: partial 16S ribosomal RNA
Rfam family: Bacterial small subunit ribosomal RNA
Source: RNAcentral
GACGAACGCUGGCGGCGUGCUUAACACAUGCAAGUCGAACGGAAAGGCCCUGCUUUUGUGGUGUGCUCGAGUGGCGAACGGGUGAGUAACACGUGAGUAACCUGCCCUUGACUUUGGGAUAACUUCAGGAAACUGGGGCUAAUACCGGAUAGGAGCUCCUGCUGCAUGGUGGGGGUUGGAGAGUUUCGGCGGUUGGGGAUGGACUCGCGGCUUAUCAGCUUGUUGGUGGGGUAGUGGCUUACCAAGGCUUUGACGGGUAGCCGGCCUGAGAGGGUGACCGGCCACAUUGGGACUGAGAUACGGACCAGACUCCUACGGGAGGCAGCAGUGGGGAAUAUUGCACAAUGGGCGGAAGCCUGAUGCAGCAACGCCGCGUGCGGGAUGACGGCCUUCGGGUUGUAAACCGCUUUCGCCUGUGACGAAGCGUGAGUGACGGUAAUGGGUAAAGAAGCACCGGCUAACUACGUG